This 236-nucleotide ribosomal RNA is filed under the name uncultured bacterium. Its description in RNAcentral is "partial 16S ribosomal RNA". It matches the Rfam family "Bacterial small subunit ribosomal RNA", at positions 523 to 759 of the family's 1533-position model. The record is from RNAcentral.
AUACGUAGGUGGCGAGCGUUAUCCGGAAUUAUUGGGCGUAAAGGGUGCGCAGGCGGCUAUUUAAGUCCGUGGUAAAAGACUGAAGCUCAACUUCAGUAAGCCGCGGAAACUGGAUGGCUAGAGUGCAGGAGAGGGUAGCGGAAUUCCAUGUGUAGCGGUAAAAUGCGUAGAUAUAUGGAGGAACACCAGUGGCGAAAGCGGCUACCUGGCCUGUAACUGACGCUCAUGCACGAAAG